RNAcentral lists this transfer RNA (65 nucleotides) under Narcine timlei (blackspotted numbfish). Its description in RNAcentral is "tRNA-Cys". The record is from RNAcentral. Lineage: Eukaryota; Metazoa; Chordata; Chondrichthyes; Torpediniformes; Narcinidae.
AGUCCUGCAGUCGAAGAGACGUAUGAGUGCAAAUCAUAAGAUGGAGAUGACUUCUCCCGGGGCUU